Peromyscus maniculatus bairdii (prairie deer mouse) is the source of this 840-nucleotide non-coding RNA. Lineage: Eukaryota; Metazoa; Chordata; Mammalia; Rodentia; Cricetidae. The record is from RefSeq and is a predicted model, not a curated record.
CAGAAUCAGAUCACUGGUCACAGGAAGCCAGUCAGACAGGGCCCCAUGACAAAACUGAGGACCCACAUAAAAAGAGAAGAGCUGGAGGACACACAGGCUGGUGGUGGGGGUGACGACACACAGAUCCAGAAGUUCAAUUGUGGGAAUUGUCUGCACCGGUCUCCUGUGCUCAGACUUGAUGGGUCGGAACAGACUUCUGGGAGCAAACACUGAGAAAAUGCUUUCCCUCCAUAUAGCUGGUAUGGCAGUGUGUUCCUGUAAAAGCAACAUCGAAACAUAAAGGGCGAAAGCCACCACCACCAACCACAAAAGUCCUCAGUUGCUUUUAUCUCCUUUCUUCCGAGUUUCAUCUCUUCCUGGAACCCAGGCUUCCUGCCCUCAGCAUCUGCUUCCCUUGAGAUCCAUGUCUUGGUACUUCCAUCCGUCCUAGAUGAACUGACCCUCUGACUUCUACAGCUUGAAAAUUUGUCUUGGAAAUUGGAACCCUGGACUGGAUUUUGACCUCAGUGGAUCAAGCCAUAGUGGUGGAGCAUAAAGAAAUGAAAGGCCCCUUCCCUUGACACUUUUGAUUGCAUAAUGGUGAGCACUCCCACUCCCACCAUGAACACAGCUACUAUUUACCUUGAAUGUAAUUGUAUUGAUUCAUGAAAGGCAACUUUCUCCUGCUUUGGAGUGUUGUGACUGGAGUUUGCCACCAGAUCGAUGUCCUAUCUUCAGAUAAAAGGUACAGAUUCUCUCUUGCUCUUUAUCACCUGAGACAAUGCGGGGCUGUUCUCUAAGGUCAGAACACCCUGCUUCUCUCUGUCUCUUCUUCCAGAAGAAAUUGAAACUCCUCAGAGU